Molecule: ribosomal RNA, 428 nt
Filed under: Bacteroidota bacterium
Lineage: Bacteria; Pseudomonadati; Bacteroidota
Description: Bacteroidetes bacterium partial 16S ribosomal RNA
Rfam family: Bacterial small subunit ribosomal RNA
Source: RNAcentral
UAGGGAAUCUUCGGCAAUGGACGCAAGUCUGACGGAGCAACGCCGCGUGAGUGAAGAAGGAUUUCGGUUCGUAAAACUCUGUUGUUAGAGAAGAACAGCGCAUAGAGUAACUGUUAUGCGUGUGACGGUAUCUAACCAGAAAGCCACGGCUAACUACGUGCCAGCAGCCGCGGUAAUACGUAGGUGGCAAGCGUUGUCCGGAUUUAUUGGCGUAAAGCGAGCGCAGGCGGUCAAUUAAGUCUGAUGUGAAAGCCCCCGGCUCAACCGGGGAGGGUCAUUGGAAACUGGUUGACUUGAGUGCAGAAGAGGAGAGUGGAAUUCCAUGUGUAGCGGUGAAAUGCGUAGAUAUAUGGAGGAACACCAGUGGCGAAGGCGACUCUCUGGUCUGUAACUGACGCUGAGGCUCGAAAGCGUGGGGAGCGAACAGG